UACGUAGGGCGCAAGCGUUAUCCGGAAUUAUUGGGCGUAAAGAGCUCGUAGGCGGUUUGUCGCGUCUGCCGUGAAAGUCCGGGGCUCAACCCCGGAUCUGCGGUGGGUACGGGCAGACUAGAGUGAUGUAGGGGAGACUGGAAUUCCUGGUGUAGCGGUGAAAUGCGCAGAUAUCAGGAGGAACACCGGUGGCGAAGGCGGGUCUCUGGGCCGUUACUGACGCUGAGGAGCGAAAGCGUGGGGAGCGAACAGG
Molecule: ribosomal RNA, 253 nt
Filed under: uncultured bacterium
Lineage: Bacteria
Description: partial 16S ribosomal RNA
Rfam family: Bacterial small subunit ribosomal RNA
Source: RNAcentral